Molecule: long non-coding RNA, 1271 nt
Organism: Heterocephalus glaber (naked mole-rat)
Lineage: Eukaryota; Metazoa; Chordata; Mammalia; Rodentia; Bathyergidae
Source: RefSeq, a predicted model, not a curated record
CAUUUGGAAAGAAGGAGAGAGAACUGGGUGAACAAGGUGGACCCAAGUUAAGGCUGGACCUGGAAAUUAGGCAGAGGAAGUGGCAAUGGUCUCCCCUCGAUAUGAGCCCUGAUGUGUUCUUCAGAGUAGAGCAGCCUGGCUCAGCCUCCUUUGAGGAAGCCAGCUGUUGCCGGUCUAGGGUGCUUCAAGGGGAGGGACAGCAGCGGUCACAAAAGGGCAGGAAACAAUGCAAGUGGGGGCAGCUGGAGGUGACUGGGUGGAGAGGAAAUAUCUAACUUGAGGUCACUUUCAUAGGAAGAAAUAACAGCAGUAUUUGGCAGAGAAGGGCCAUGCAGAGCGGAGCUUCGGUCUCUAGCCUGGGCGUGGAGUGGGGAGGGGCCCAGUGAGUCACCAGGCACAGGCACAGCGGACAUCUCCUUCCAUCAUCUGGUGCGGCUGAUGUACCUGAAGGUGGACAGGAGGGCUGUUCUCUGGCCCAGGCCCCUCAUGAUGACACUGGACUUCAGGUGGAAGAUUUACAGAAACUACUGCAAGGGAAGUGGGAAUUCUGAUCCUCCAAGUUGGAGCUGACUUACUCUUGUUAUCUCCUCCUUGAGCUAACUACUUUCUUAAUGUGUCUUCUUUUCACUUCACUCACAGAAUGUCAUGCUGUGAGCCCUGACUGCCAUUAGACUCACUCUGCUUGAAGGACUCAUUCCAAGAAGCGCACACACUUGACAAGUCACAAGCGUAGCACUCCUGGGUUCAAGGCAUCCUGUGCACUUCCUUGUUCAGGACACAAAGACCCUGGGCCAGACCCCACCUGGUGACCAUGGGGCACAGAGCAGGGAUGCAGUCCAGGGAAGCUGGUUGAAGGUGGUUAAGGAUGGAGGGUGUGACCCUCCCGGAUUUCAGCAGUCUGGGCUGUACAGGUGAGCACUCCCACCGGCUCCAGAGUCCCUGGGCCCCAGCCGGGCCGUCCUUCCUGUGACGGACCAGAGGGCCACCCAGACCAAAGCCCAGGAAAGGAGAGGAGAGGUGGGGGAGGAAGCAAGCACACUUCACACGCCCUCAGCUGCGCCACAGCCCUGCACGGAGGAGCAAGUGUUGUCUGUGUCACGUGGCCCCAUGGAGAAGCCGCCAGCACCUCUGCCUGCCCAGCACUGGGCCAUGGUGACCACCGUGCCUUCGGGAAUUUCGGGCUCUUUUCUUUAGGAAGCCAGCCUGGUCAGCCAGGGGCACAGAUGUUCUUUAAUUACACCCAGAAUAAACAGGCUUUCACCAAGCAACAA